This 190-nucleotide ribosomal RNA is filed under the name Aeromonas allosaccharophila. RNAcentral describes it as "partial 16S ribosomal RNA". It matches the Rfam family "Bacterial small subunit ribosomal RNA", at positions 1 to 178 of the family's 1533-position model. Lineage: Bacteria; Pseudomonadati; Pseudomonadota; Gammaproteobacteria; Aeromonadales; Aeromonadaceae. The record is from RNAcentral.
ACUUAAAUUGAAGAGUUUGAUCAUGGCUCAGAUUGAACGCUGGCGGCAGGCCUAACACAUGCAAGUCGAGCGGCAGCGGGAAAGUAGCUUGCUACUUUUGCCGGCGAGCGGCGGACGGGUGAGUAAUGCCUGGGGAUCUGCCCAGUCGAGGGGGAUAACAGUUGGAAACGACUGCUAAUACCGCAUACGC